This is a small nucleolar RNA of Gastrolobium bilobum, 108 nucleotides long. The record is from RefSeq and is a predicted model, not a curated record. Lineage: Eukaryota; Viridiplantae; Streptophyta; Magnoliopsida; Fabales; Fabaceae.
GUGUCUCUUUGUGGGUCAGUUCAGUGCGAGCCCCUUGAACCUUUCCCAUGCUUCAUGUAAAGAUUCAUUCUCCUUUUGUUCAAAAGAAGUGAUAUCCGCUUUGAGCUU